RNAcentral lists this ribosomal RNA (478 nucleotides) under uncultured bacterium. Its description in RNAcentral is "partial 16S ribosomal RNA". It matches the Rfam family "Bacterial small subunit ribosomal RNA", at positions 28 to 507 of the family's 1533-position model. The record is from RNAcentral.
GAUGAACGCUGGCGGCGUGCUUAACACAUGCAAGUCGAACGAGAAGUGGAGACGGACACCUUCGGGCGGAAGACUUUAUUUCGAGUGGCGGCCGGGUGAGUAACGCGUGGGUAACCUGCCUCAUACAGGGGGAUAACAGUUUGAAACGACUGUUAAUACCGCAUAAGACCACAGCACCGCAUGGUGCGGGGGUAAAAACUCCGGUGGUAUGAGAUGGACCCGCGUUCGAUUAGCCAGUUGGCGUGGUAACGGCACACCAAAGCGACGAUCGAUAGCCGAUCUGAGAGGAUGACCGGCCACACUUGGACGGAGACGCGGCCCAAACUCCUACGGGAGGCAGCAGUGGGGAACAGUGCACAAUGGGGGAAACGCUGAUGCAGCGAGGCCGCGUGAGUGAAGAAGUAUUGCGGUAUGUAAAGUGCUAUCAGCAGGGAAGAUAAUGACGGUACCUGAGUAAGAAGCCCCGGCUAACUACGUG